ACAAAGGGAAGCGAGCCUGUGAAGGGGAGCAAAUCCCAAAAAUAACGUCCCAGUUCGGAUUGUAGUCUGCAACUCGACUACAUGAAGCUGGAAUCGCUAGUAAUCGCGAAUCAGAAUGUCGCGGUGAAUACGUUCCCGGGUCUUGUACACACCGCCCGUCACACCAUGGGAGUCGGAAAUGCCCGAAGUCAGUGACCUAACCGAGAGGAAGGAGCUGCCGAAGGUGGAGCCGGUAACUGGGGUGAAGUCGUAACAAGGUAAC
RNAcentral lists this ribosomal RNA (262 nucleotides) under uncultured bacterium. RNAcentral's name for it is "partial 16S ribosomal RNA". It matches the Rfam family "Bacterial small subunit ribosomal RNA", at positions 1239 to 1500 of the family's 1533-position model. The record is from RNAcentral.